GUGGUAGUAGCUCAGUUGGAGAGCGCUCGCCUAGCAGCACGUGUGAGGCCCUGGGUUAAAUCCUCAGCACCACA
RNAcentral lists this transfer RNA (74 nucleotides) under Marmota monax (woodchuck). It matches the Rfam family "tRNA". Rfam says of the family: Transfer RNA (tRNA) molecules are approximately 80 nucleotides in length. Their secondary structure includes four short double-helical elements and three loops (D, anti-codon, and T loops). Further hydrogen bonds mediate the characteristic L-shaped molecular structure. tRNAs have two regions of fundamental functional importance: the anti-codon, which is responsible for specific mRNA codon recognition, and the 3' end, to which the tRNAs corresponding amino acid is attached (by aminoacyl-tRNA synthetases). tRNAs cope with the degeneracy of the genetic code in two manners: having more than one tRNA (with a specific anti-codon) for a particular amino acid; and 'wobble' base-pairing, i.e. permitting non-standard base-pairing at the 3rd anti-codon position. Lineage: Eukaryota; Metazoa; Chordata; Mammalia; Rodentia; Sciuridae. The record is from Rfam by way of RNAcentral.